This 333-nucleotide ribosomal RNA is filed under the name uncultured soil bacterium. RNAcentral's name for it is "bacterial SSU rRNA". It matches the Rfam family "Bacterial small subunit ribosomal RNA", at positions 26 to 384 of the family's 1533-position model. The record is from RNAcentral.
AGAACGAACGCUGGCGGCAUGCCUAAUACAUGCAAGUCGAACGAACUCUUCGGAGUUAGUGGCGCACGGGUGCGUAACGCGUGGGAAUCUGCCCUUGGGUUCGGAAUAACAGUUGGAAACGACUGCUAAUACCGGAUGAUGACGAAAGUCCAAAGAUUUAUCGCCCAGGGAUGAGCCCGCGUAGGAUUAGCUAGUUGGUGAGGUAAAGGCUCACCAAGGCGACGAUCCUUAGCUGGUCUGAGAGGAUGAUCAGCCACACUGGGACUGAGACACGGCCCAGACUCCGUACGGGAGCAGCAGUAGGGAAUAGUUGGACAAGUGGGCGAAAAGCCC